CAAGUCUGGUGCCAGCAGCCGCGGUAAUUCCAGCUCCAAUAGCGUAUAUUAAAGUUGUUGCAGUUAAAAAGCUCGUAGUUGAAUUUCGGGGUCAGUAGGUUGGUCGUGCCACCGGUACGUACUGGUCUCACUGAUUCCUCCUUCCUGAUGAGCUGUAAUGCCAUUAAUUUGGUGUUGCAGGGAAUCUGGACUGUUACUUUGAAAAAAUUAGAGUGUUUAAAGCAGGCUAACGCUUGAAUACAUUAGCAUGGAAUAAUGAAAUAGGACGUUCGAUCCUAUUUUGUUGGUUUCUAGGAUUGACGUAAUGAUUAAUAGGGAUAGUUGGGGGCAUUAGUAUUCAAUUGUCAGAGGUGAAAUUCUUGGAUUUAUUGAAGACUAACUACUGCGAAAGCAUUUGCCAAGGAUGUUUUCAUUAAUCAAGAACGAAAGUUAGGGGAUCGAAGACGAUCAGAUACCGUCGUAGUCUUAACCAUAAACUAUGCCGACUAGGGAUCGGAUGAUGUAAUUUUAA
This 511-nucleotide ribosomal RNA is filed under the name uncultured Glomus. RNAcentral describes it as "SSU rRNA". It matches the Rfam family "Eukaryotic small subunit ribosomal RNA", at positions 556 to 1071 of the family's 1831-position model. Lineage: Eukaryota; Fungi; Glomeromycota; Glomeromycetes; Glomerales; Glomeraceae. The record is from RNAcentral.